GACGAACGCUGGCGGCGUGCUUAACACAUGCACGUCGAACGAAGUGGCGAACGGGUGAGUAACGCGUAAUCAGCCUGCCCUUCAGAGGGGGACAACAGUUGGAAACGACUGCUAAUACCGCAUACUGAAGGAGGGGAUUGCGUCUGCUUAGCUAGUUGGUGGGGUAACGGCCCACCAAGGCGAUGAUCCGUAGCCGGGCUGAGAGGAUGAACGGCCACAUUGGGACUGAGACACGGCCCAGACUCUUACGGGAGGAAGCAGUGUGGAAUCGUCCGCAAUGGACGAAAGUCUGACGGAGCAACGCGGCUGGAGUGAUGACGGCCUUCGGGUUGUAAAGCUCUGUUAAUCGGGACGCGGUACCGGAAUAGAAAGCCACGGCUAACUACGUGCCAGCAGCCGCGGUAAUUC
Molecule: ribosomal RNA, 408 nt
Filed under: uncultured bacterium
Lineage: Bacteria
Description: partial 16S ribosomal RNA
Rfam family: Bacterial small subunit ribosomal RNA
Source: RNAcentral